This 253-nucleotide ribosomal RNA is filed under the name uncultured bacterium. RNAcentral's name for it is "partial 16S ribosomal RNA". It matches the Rfam family "Bacterial small subunit ribosomal RNA", at positions 524 to 776 of the family's 1533-position model. The record is from RNAcentral.
UACGAAGGGAGCUAGCGUUGUUCGGAAUCACUGGGCGUAAAGCGCACGUAGGCGGAUGUGUCAGUCAGGGGUGAAAUCCCGGAGCUCAACUUCGGAACUGCCUUUGAUACUGGCCGUCUGGAGGGAGGUAGGGGCGUGCGGAACUUUGGGUGGAGCGGUGAAAUGCGUAGAUAUCCAAAGGAACACCGGUGGCGAAAGCGGCGCGCUGGACCUCUACUGACGCUGAGGCGCGAAAGCCAGGGGAGCAAACGGG